AUGGAGAGUUUGAUCCUGGCUCAGGAUCAACGCUGGCGGCGUGCCUAAUGCAUGCAAGUCGAACGGCGCUCCUUUUGGGGUGCAGUGGCAGACGGGUGCGGAACACGUGGGUGACCUAUCCGCUUCUGGGGGAUACCCGCCCGAAAGGGUGGUUAAUACCGCAUGAGCUCACUUCUGGGCCGACGGGAGUGAGGAAAGGCGUGAGCUGGGAGCGGCGGGGCCUGCGGCCGAUUAGCUCGUUGGUGGGGUAAUGGCCUACCAAGGCGACGAUCGGUAGCCGGUCUGAGAGGACGGCCGGCCACACGGGGACUGGGAGACGGCCCCGACUCCUACGGGAGGCAGCAGCAAGGAAUUUUGGGCAAUGGGGGCAACCCUGACCCAGCGACGCCGCGUGGGGGAAGACGGCCUUCGGGUUGUAAACCCCUUUUCUUGGUGACGAAGGUGACGGUAGCCAAGGAAGAAGCCCCGGCUAACUACGUGCCAGCAGCCGCGGUAAUACGUAGGGGGCGAGCGUUGUCCGGAAUUACUGGGCGUAAAGCGCACGUAGGUGGUUGUCUAAGAUGGGUGUGAAAUCCCCGGGCUCACCUCGGGGGGGUCAUCCGUGACUGGGCGACUUGGGUCUGGUAGAGGCGUGUGGAAUUCCCGGUGGAGCGGUGAAAUGCGUAGAGAUCGGGAGGAACACCAGUGGCGGAGGCGACACGCUGGGCCAUGACCGACGCUGAGGUGCGAAAGCGUGGGGAGCGAACCGGAUUAGAUACCCGGGUAGUCCACGCCCUAAACGAUGGGUACUAGGCGUGGGGGGUAUCGACCCCCUCCGUGCCGGAGCUAACGCGCGAAGUACCCCGCCUGGGGAGUACGGCCGCAAGGUUGAAACUCAAAGGAAUUGACGGGGGCCCGCACAAGCAGCGGAGCGUGUGGUUUAAUUCGACGCAACGCGCAGAACCUUACCAGGGCUUGACAUGCCGGUUACCGCACGGGAAACCGUGUUCCCGCAAGGGGUCUGGCACAGAUGCUGCAUGGCUGUCGUCAGCUCGUGCCGUGAGGUGUCGGGUUAAGUCCCGCAACGAGCGCAACCCCUGCGGCUAGUUGAGUGUCUAGCCGGACUGCCCCCGCAAGGGGGAGGAAGGCGGGGAUGACGUCAAGUCAGCACGGCUCUUACGUCCUGGGCUACACACACGCUACAAUGGGCGCGACAAUGGGCGGCGAAGCCGCGAGGUGGAGCGAAUCCCUGAAAGGCGUCCUCAGUUGGGAUUGCAGGCUGCAACUCGCCUGCAUGAACGUGGAGUUGCUAGUAACCGCCGGUCAGCACUACGGCGGUGAAUACGUUCCCGGGCCUUGUACACACCGCCCGUCACGUCAUGAAAGCUGGCAACACCUGAAGUCGCUGGGCCAACCCGUGUGGGAGGCAGGCGCCGAGGGUGGGGCUGGUGAUUGGGACGAAGUCGUAACAAGGUAGCCGUAGCGGAAGCUGCGGCUGGAUCACCUCCUUU
RNAcentral lists this ribosomal RNA (1490 nucleotides) under Dehalococcoidia bacterium. RNAcentral describes it as "bacterial SSU rRNA". It matches the Rfam family "Bacterial small subunit ribosomal RNA". Lineage: Bacteria; Bacillati; Chloroflexota; Dehalococcoidia. The record is from RNAcentral.